RNAcentral lists this transfer-messenger RNA (386 nucleotides) under Helicobacter pylori. It matches the Rfam family "transfer-messenger RNA". Rfam says of the family: Bacterial tmRNA, also known as 10Sa RNA or SsrA, is named for its dual tRNA and mRNA-like properties. The record is from RNAcentral. Lineage: Bacteria; Pseudomonadati; Campylobacterota; Epsilonproteobacteria; Campylobacterales; Helicobacteraceae. RNAcentral also lists the same sequence under 2 other names.
GGGGCUGACUUGGAUUUCGACAGAUUUCUUGUCGCACAGACAGCAUGCCAAGCGCUGCUUGUAAAACAGCAACAAAAAUAACUGUAAACAACACAGAUUACGCUCCAGCUUACGCUAAAGCUGCGUGAGUUAAUCUCCUUUUGGAGCUGGACUGAUUAGAAUUUCUAGCGUUUUAAUCACUCCAUAACCUUAAGCUAGACGCUUUUAAAAGGUGGUUCGCCUUUUAAACUAAGAAACAAGAACUCUUGAAACUAUCUCAAGGUUUUAGAAAGUUGGACCAGAGCUAGUUUUAAGGCUAAAAAACUAACCAAUUUUCUAAGCAUUGUAGAAGUUUGUGUUUAGGGCAAGAUUUUUGGACUGGGGUUCGAUUCCCCACAGCUCCACCA